CCUACGGGAGGCAGCAGUGAGGAAUAUUGGUCAAUGGCCGGAAGGCUGAACCAGCCAUGCCGCGUGAAGGUCAGUGCCCUAUGGGCGUUAAACUUCUUUUGUGCGGGAGCAAUAAUGGUCACGUGUGGCCAGACGAGAGUACCGUACGAAUAAGCAUCGGCGAACUCCGUUCCAGCAGCCGCGGUAAUCCGGGGGAUGCAAGCGUUAUCGGGAUUUAUUGGGUUUAAGGGGUGCGUAGGCUGUGAGGUAAGUCAGCGGUGAAAUGCCCCCGCUCAAAGGGGUGAAGUGCCAUUGAUACUGCCGUGCUGGAAUGCGGAUGACGUGGGAGGAAUGUGUGGUGUAGCGGUGAAAUGCAUAGAUAUCACACAGAACACCGAUUGCGAAGGCAUCUCACGAAUCCGCGAUUGACGCUGAUGCACGAAAGCGUGGGUAUCAAACAGGAUUAGAUACCCUAGUAGUC
Molecule: ribosomal RNA, 460 nt
Filed under: uncultured bacterium
Lineage: Bacteria
Description: partial 16S ribosomal RNA
Rfam family: Bacterial small subunit ribosomal RNA
Source: RNAcentral